GAUGAACGCUAGCUACAGGCUUAACACAUGCAAGUCGCGGGGCAGCAUGGGGGUUGCUUGCAAUCCCCGAUGGCGACCGGCGCACGGGUGAGUAACGCGUAUUCAACCUGCCCUUCACCACGGGAUAACCCGGCGAAAGUCGGACUAAUACCGUAUGUUGUCCAUUGACGGCAUCCGAUUUGGACGAAAGGCUUGGCGGUGAGGGAUGGGGAUGCGUCCGAUUAGCCAGACGGCGGGGUAACGGCCCACCGUGGCUACGAUCGGUAGGGGUUCUGAGAGGAAGGUCCCCCACACUGGAACUGAGACACGGUCCAGACUCCUACGGGAGGCAGCAGUGAGGAAUAUUGGCCAAUGGGCGUAAGCCUGAACCAGCCAAGUAGCGUGCAGGAGGACGGCCCUAUAGGUUGUAAACUGCUUUUAUGCGGGGAUAAAGUGGCCCACGGGUGGGCUUUUGCAGGUACCGCAUGAAUAAGGACCGGCUAAUUCCGUG
RNAcentral lists this ribosomal RNA (490 nucleotides) under uncultured bacterium. RNAcentral describes it as "partial 16S ribosomal RNA". It matches the Rfam family "Bacterial small subunit ribosomal RNA", at positions 28 to 507 of the family's 1533-position model. The record is from RNAcentral.